RNAcentral lists this ribosomal RNA (740 nucleotides) under Pseudonocardia alni subsp. carboxydivorans. Its description in RNAcentral is "bacterial SSU rRNA". It matches the Rfam family "Bacterial small subunit ribosomal RNA", at positions 82 to 835 of the family's 1533-position model. The record is from RNAcentral. Lineage: Bacteria; Bacillati; Actinomycetota; Actinomycetes; Pseudonocardiales; Pseudonocardiaceae.
CGGGGGUACACGAGCGGCGAACGGGUGAGUAACACGUGGGUGACCUGCCCUCCACUCUGGGAUAAGCCCGGGAAACUGGGUCUAAUACCGGAUAGGACCACUGAUCGCAUGGUUGGUGGUGGAAAGUUUUUUCGGUGGGGGAUGGGCCCGCGGCCUAUCAGCUUGUUGGUGGGGUGAUGGCCUACCAAGGCGGUGACGGGUAGCCGGCCUGAGAGGGCGACCGGCCACACUGGGACUGAGACACGGCCCAGACUCCUACGGGAGGCAGCAGUGGGGAAUAUUGCGCAAUGGGCGGAAGCCUGACGCAGCGACGCCGCGUGGGGGAUGACGGCCUUCGGGUUGUAAACCUCUUUCGCCAGGGACGAAGAGCAAUUGACGGUACCUGGAGAAGAAGCACCGGCCAACUACGUGCCAGCAGCCGCGGUAACACGUAGGGUGCGAGCGUUGUCCGGAAUUAUUGGGCGUAAAGAGCUCGUAGGCGGUGUGUCGCGUCGGCCGUGAAAACUUGGGGCUUAACUCUGAGCGUGCGGUCGAUACGGGCAUCACUUGAGUUCGGCAGGGGAGACUGGAAUUCCUGGUGUAGCGGUGAAAUGCGCAGAUAUCAGGAGGAACACCGGUGGCGAAGGCGGGUCUCUGGGCCGAUACUGACGCUGAGGAGCGAAAGCGUGGGGAGCGAACAGGAUUAGAUACCCUGGUAGUCCACGCCGUAAACGUUGGGCGCUAGGUGUGGGGACCAUUCC